This 253-nucleotide ribosomal RNA is filed under the name uncultured bacterium. RNAcentral describes it as "partial 16S ribosomal RNA". It matches the Rfam family "Bacterial small subunit ribosomal RNA", at positions 524 to 776 of the family's 1533-position model. The record is from RNAcentral.
UACGGGGGGGGCAAGCGUUGUUCGGAAUUACUGGGCGUAAAGGGCUCGUAGGCGGCCAACUAAGUCAGACGUGAAAUCCCUCGGCUUAACUGUGGAACUGCCCUUGAAACUGUCAAGCUAGAGUGUCGGAGGGGAUAGCGGAAUUGCUAAUGUAGAGGUGAAAUUCGUAGAUAUUAGCAGGAACACCGGUGGCGAAGGCGGCUAUCUGGACGACAACUGACGCUGAGACGCGAAAGCGUGGGGAUCAAACAGG